RNAcentral lists this ribosomal RNA (355 nucleotides) under Klebsiella quasipneumoniae subsp. similipneumoniae. RNAcentral describes it as "partial 23S ribosomal RNA". It matches the Rfam family "Bacterial large subunit ribosomal RNA", at positions 1369 to 1726 of the family's 2925-position model. The record is from RNAcentral. Lineage: Bacteria; Pseudomonadati; Pseudomonadota; Gammaproteobacteria; Enterobacterales; Enterobacteriaceae.
UCGGGGCAGGGUGAGUCGACCCCUAAGGCGAGGCCGAAAGGCGUAGUCGAUGGGAAACAGGUUAAUAUUCCUGUACUUGGUGUUACUGCGAAGGGGGGACGGAGAAGGCUAUGUUAGCCGGGCGACGGUUGUCCCGGUUUAAGCAUGUAGGCUGAUUAUCCAGGCAAAUCCGGAUAAUCAAGGCUGAGGUGUGAUGACGAGGCACUACGGUGCUGAAGUAACAAAUGCCCUGCUUCCAGGAAAAGCCUCUAAGCAUCAGGUAACAUCAAAUCGUACCCCAAACCGACACAGGUGGUCAGGUAGAGAAUACCAAGGCGCUUGAGAGAACUCGGGUGAAGGAACUAGGCAAAAUGGU